This 301-nucleotide ribosomal RNA is filed under the name uncultured bacterium. RNAcentral describes it as "partial 16S ribosomal RNA". It matches the Rfam family "Bacterial small subunit ribosomal RNA", at positions 509 to 809 of the family's 1533-position model. The record is from RNAcentral.
CAGCAGCCGCGGGAAUACGAAGGGUGCAAGCGUUACUCGGAAUUACUGGGCGUAAAGCGUGCGUAGGUGGUGGUUUAAGUCCGUUGUGAAAGCCCUGGGCUCAACCUGGGAAUUGCAGUGGAUACUGGGUCACUAGAGUGUGGUAGAGGAUAGUGAAAUUUCCGGUGUAGCAGUGAAAUGCGUAGAGAUCGGGAGGAACAUCAGUGGCGAAGGCGGCCAUCCGGGACAACACUGACGCUGAGGCACGAAAGCGUGGGGAGCAAACAGGAUUAGAUACCCGGGUAGUCCCUGUCUCUUAUAA